UCAGGUAUUUCUGACAACAUGUGCAUUUAUUUGUAUUAGAAGUACAAACGUAGGAAUCCAAAUACAAAUACAGAGGGCGGCCCAGCCACGAGGCCCAGCUGAGGGCGCGGCGGGGACGGGACGCACGAAGCGGGGCGCGGCGCCGCCCGUGUCGCCAAGGCACGUCGGGCGCCGGUGCGCCCUCAUUUCACUAGGACACCACGAGCCGCACGGAUAGCGGGGAGCCACGUCCUCUGCGGAGGGGAGGAGGGCGGUGGGACCUCGGGACCGCCCGGAGCCAGGGCCUCCAAUCCCUCGCGGGACGACAGGGACACAGGGGCUACUGGAGGCCACUUGGUGAGGGCGGGGACCCUGCUGGGGCAGGAGGCGCACGCACUGGGGCAGGGCGCGGCCCCCUCGGGGCCAAGCGCAUCCACACCAGUGCUCUAAGAUGAUUCCAAAAUGUUGUCGGAUUCUGGAAUCUCCCGGCCUACCUCCCAUCUGGAGGACAAUGGCUUCACAGGCAGGAAGGAUUCCAUGGGAACAGAGAGCAGUCCGCGCCUCUCUCCAUCCCUUCCUGCCUGGGCCAUCUCCCAGGACCCCUGACAGUUUCACUUCCCACACAGGCUUCACAGAGAGAGGACCCUGCCAGCACCCCGGCUGCUUCAAGCCCGACCUGACGCCUUCCUGUGACCUGCGAAUACGACUUCCUAGACAAGGGUGGGGAUAGCUGUUUGCCAUCAAAAUCUUGAAAACUACUUUCGGCUUAUCGGGUCAACUUGACCAGAAUGCACGAAUGAUCAAGGAGUUGCCCAGGUGUGCACCCAAGUCACAACAGUGAUGCUCAAGGGCUCUCCAAAGGAGGCAGGCUUGUGUGGACGCCAGAGGGACUCCUGAUCAGAAAUUGCAGAUGAAAUUUCUUAUGGGUAGAGUUUAAAAUCACUCAGGAAAAGCACUCAAAAAGAGUUGCAAGAUCAUGGAGUGAAUUCAAAGCACUUUGUGCCUUGAGAGCACUGAACUGAUACAGUGAUAAUAAUGGUUGGAGACCAGGUAUAAUUCUUCAAGUCUCAAAGGAAAUCACAGAAAAUUUCCAUUUUGGCAGCUGAGAUAAAAAUGAUC
RNAcentral lists this non-coding RNA (1098 nucleotides) under Pongo abelii (Sumatran orangutan). Lineage: Eukaryota; Metazoa; Chordata; Mammalia; Primates; Hominidae. The record is from RNAcentral.